CCUACGGGUGGCAGCAGUGAGGAAUAUUGGUCAAUGGACGAGAGUCUGAACCAGCCAAGUAGCGUGAAGGAUGACUGCCCUCUGGGUUGUAAACUUCUUUUAUAUGGGAAUAAAAUGUUCCACGUGUGGGAUUUUGUAUGUACCAUAUGAAUAAGGAUCGGCUAACUCCGUUCCAGCAGCCGCGGUAAUACGGAGGAUCCGAGCGGUGUCCGGAUUUAUUGGGUUUAAAGGGAGCGUAGGUGGGUUGUUAAGUCAGUUGUGAAAGUUUGCGGCUCAACCGUAAAAUUGCAGUUGAAACUGGCAGUCGGGAGUACAGGAGAGGUGGGCGGAAGUCGUGGUGUAGCGGUGAAAUGCUUAGAUAUCACGAAGAACUCCGAUGGCGAAGGCAGUUCACUGGACUGCAACUGACACUGAGGCUCGAAAGUGUGGGUAGCAAACAGGAUUAGAUACCCCGGUAGUC
RNAcentral lists this ribosomal RNA (460 nucleotides) under uncultured bacterium. RNAcentral describes it as "partial 16S ribosomal RNA". It matches the Rfam family "Bacterial small subunit ribosomal RNA", at positions 338 to 795 of the family's 1533-position model. The record is from RNAcentral.